Molecule: ribosomal RNA, 964 nt
Filed under: uncultured bacterium
Lineage: Bacteria
Description: bacterial SSU rRNA
Rfam family: Bacterial small subunit ribosomal RNA
Source: RNAcentral
GUGAUGGCGGCUGCUACCAUGCAGUCGAGCGGCAGUCGAUGUCCUUCGCUACAUCACGCUAAGUGGCGAACGGGUGAGUAAUGCUUCGGAAUCUGCCUAUUAGUGGGGGACAACUUUCCGAAAGGUAUGCUAAUACCGCAUACGCCCUGAGGUGGAAAGCAGGGGAUCUUCGGACCUUGCGCUAUUGGAUGAGCCUAUGUCAGAUUAGCUAGUUGGUGGGGUAAAGGCCUACCAAGGCGACGAUCUGUAGCGGGUCUGAGAGGAUGAUCCGCCACACUGGAACUGAGACACGGUCCAGACUCCUACGGGAGGCAGCAGUGGGGAAUUUUGGACAAUGGGCGAAAGCCUGAUCCAGCCAUGCCGCGUGAGUGAAGAAGGCCUUUUGGUUGUAAAGCUCUUUCGGCCAGGAAGAAGCUACGUGGAUUAAUACUCGCCGUGAAUGAACGUUACUCACUAAAAAACCCCCGGUUACUUCUGACCCACCACCCGCGUAAUUACUUAGGUGGCAAGCGUUAUCCGAAUUUACGGGCGUAAAGCGUGGCGCAGGCGUUUGCUAAAAACAGGGGGAAAUCCCCGGGCUUUACCCGGGAAACUGCCUUGUGUGACUGGCAGGCUAAAGUACGCAGAGAGGGGGUGGAAAUUCCGUGUGUAGCAGUGAAAUGCGUAGAUAUGUGAGAGAAACACCAUGGGAAAGGCCCCCCUGGGCCUGUGUACUGACUCUCAUGCAAAGCGUGGGAAGAAAAGGAUUUAUACCCUGGUAAUCCCCGGCCCUAACAAUGUCAUUAUCCUUUCGGACCGGAACGCGCUUGAUGAACAACUUAACGCGUAAAUUUAACCGCUGGGGGAAUUACGGCCCCAAGGUUAAACUCUCAAGGAUUUGCCGGGAAACCGGCAAACGGUGGGAUGAAGUGUGAUUAAUUUCAUUCACAGCCGAAAACCUUUACUUACCUUUGGAUUUGCAGGG